Molecule: long non-coding RNA, 606 nt
Organism: Haliotis rufescens (red abalone)
Lineage: Eukaryota; Metazoa; Mollusca; Gastropoda; Lepetellida; Haliotidae
Exons: 3
Source: RefSeq, a predicted model, not a curated record
GUGACUGAUGUUCAUCUCAAGACAUACCUUCAGCUUAAUCCGAGGGGAUUCCCGACAUGAAUAGGUUUUCUACGAAAGGCGACAGGUUUUGUUACCUGGUCGACCAACUGAAAUGCCCAAGCAGCGAAGAAAAUCGUGUGGAACAUUUCGCUGAGUUGUCCACACUUAUUCCCUUCGUGAAAGUUGCAAGAAAAUACUUGUCUAAAGAUACGGAUAUUCCAAGUUCAGGCGUCUUCUGGUCACGUGUUUUAAAGCGCUUAGCUAAGCACAAUGAGUGGAAUGCAAUGCACAGAUUGUUGCUAGGUCCGAAGGAUGGACCGAAGUCACCAAUUGACCGCAUAGCCGAAAGCUCUCCAACAUUGGAUAUAUCGAUCUCUGGUUUACUGAGAUCAUUGUCAGAUACUGAACUAUACCAGUGGGGUAUUAGGCUGGCCAUUUGUCUUUUGAAGAGAGGUGCGGCUUUAGAGAGUAUUGUUACUGAUUUCUUGGAACCCGUACCGGUUGUGGCGGUCAAUAUGGCUAUCAAGACAGGUAGGUAUUAAAUAACCGAACCACAUUCUUAAAAAUGUCCCCUAUUAUAUUUUGGUGUUCAGUACAAAACACGAC